This 302-nucleotide ribosomal RNA is filed under the name uncultured bacterium. RNAcentral describes it as "bacterial SSU rRNA". It matches the Rfam family "Bacterial small subunit ribosomal RNA", at positions 774 to 1070 of the family's 1533-position model. The record is from RNAcentral.
AGCUAAUAGAUACCCCGGUAGUCCUGGCCGUAAACGAUGGGUACUAGGUAGGGGGAUUUCAAACGUCUCUCUGCUGGAGUGAAAUAUAUUAAGUACCCGCCUGGGAAGUACAGUCGCAAGGCUGAAACUCAAAGGAAUUGACGGGGGCUCACACAAGCGGUGGAGCAUGUUGUUCAAUUCGAAGCAACGCGCAGAACCUUACCUGGGCUUGACAUGCUCGUAGUAGAAGCCUGAAAGGGUGACGACUCCCUCUGGGAGAGCGAGCACAGGUGUUGCAUGGCUGUCGUCAGCUCGUGUCGUGA